This 756-nucleotide ribosomal RNA is filed under the name Saxomyces penninicus. RNAcentral's name for it is "SSU rRNA". It matches the Rfam family "Eukaryotic small subunit ribosomal RNA", at positions 43 to 820 of the family's 1831-position model. The record is from RNAcentral. Lineage: Eukaryota; Fungi; Ascomycota; Dothideomycetes.
GAUAAGCCAUGCAUGUCUAAGUAUAAGCAAUCUAUACGGUGAAACUGCGAAUGGCUCAUUAAAUCAGUUAUCGUUUAUUUGAUAGUACCUUACUACAUGGAUAACCGUGGUAAUUCUAGAGCUAAUACAUGCUAAAAACCCCGACUUCGGAAGGGGUGUAUUUAUUAGAUAAAAAACCAGCGCCCUCCGGGGCUCCUUGGUGAUUCAUAAUAACUCAACGAAUCGCAUGGCCUUGCGCCGGCGAUGGUUCAUUCAAAUUUCUGCCCUAUCAACUUUCGAUGGUAGGAUAGUGGCCUACCAUGGUAUCAACGGGUAACGGGGAAUUAGGGUUCUAUUCCGGAGAGGGAGCCUGAGAAACGGCUACCACAUCCAAGGAAGGCAGCAGGCGCGCAAAUUACCCAAUCCCGACACGGGGAGGUAGUGACAAUAAAUACUGAUACAGGGCUCUUUYGGGUCUUGUAAUUGGAAUGAGUACAAUUUAAAUCCCUUAACGAGGAACAAUUGGAGGGCAAGUCUGGUGCCAGCAGCCGCGGUAAUUCCAGCUCCAAUAGCGUAUAUUAAAGUUGUUGCAGUUAAAAAGCUCGUAGUUGAACCUUGGGCCUGGCUGGCCGGUCCGCCUCACCGCGUGUACUGGUCCGGCCGGGCCUUUCCUUCUGGGGAGCCGCAUGCCCUUCRCUGGGCGUGCCGGGGAACCAGGACUUUUACUUUGAAAAAAUUAGAGUGUUCAAAGCAGGCCUUUGCUCGAAUACAUUAGCA